Molecule: ribosomal RNA, 503 nt
Filed under: uncultured bacterium
Lineage: Bacteria
Description: bacterial SSU rRNA
Rfam family: Bacterial small subunit ribosomal RNA
Source: RNAcentral
AUUGAACGCUGGCGGCGUGCUUAACACAUGCAAGUCGAUCGGUAACGCGGGGGCAACCCUGGCGACGAGAGGCGGACGGGUGAGGAACGCUUGGGAAUCUGCCCUUCAGCGGGGGACAACCCGGGGAAACCCGGGCUAAUACCGCAUACGCUCCACGGAGGAAAGCCGGGGACCGCAAGGCCUGGCACUGAAGGAUGAGCCCAAGUCGGAUUAGCUGGUUGGCGGGGUAACGGCCCACCAAGGCGACGAUCCGUAGCUGGUCUGAGAGGACGAUCAGCCACACCGGAACUGAGACACGGUCCGGACUCCUACGGGAGGCAGCAGUGGGGAAUAUUGGACAAUGGGCGAAAGCCUGAUCCAGCGACGCCGCGUGGGUGAAGAAGGCCUGCGGGUUGUAAAGCCCUUUCGGUAGGGACGAAAGCUCUUGCCUUAACACGGCAGGAGGAUGACUUAACCUACAUAAGAAGCACCGGCUAACUCUGUGCCAGCAGCCGCAGUAAAAC